RNAcentral lists this ribosomal RNA (485 nucleotides) under uncultured organism. Its description in RNAcentral is "bacterial SSU rRNA". It matches the Rfam family "Bacterial small subunit ribosomal RNA", at positions 28 to 507 of the family's 1533-position model. The record is from RNAcentral.
GACGAACGCUGGCGGCGUGCUUUACACAUGCAAGUCGAACGGAUCUUGCUCAGCUUGCUGGGUUUGGUUAGUGGCGAACGGGUGAGUAACACGUGAGUAACCUGCCCCAGACUCUGGGAUAACUGUCGGAAACGGUGGCUAAUACUGGAUGUGACGCGCUCAUGCAUGUGGGUGUGUGGAAAGGUGCCCUUUGGGGUUUCUGGUUUGGGAUGGGCUCGCGGCCUAUCAGCUUGUUGGUGGGGUAGUGGCCUACCAAGGCUUUGACGGGUAGCCGGCCUGAGAGGGUGACCGGCCACACUGGGACUGAGACACGGCCCAGACUCCUACGGGAGGCAGCAGUGGGGAAUAUUGCACAAUGGGCGGAAGCCUGAUGCAGCGACGCCGCGUGAGGGAUGACGGCCUUCGGGUUGUAAACCUCUUUCAGUGGGGAAGAAGCCGCUUUGGUGGUGACGGUACCUGCAGAAGAAGCGCCGGCUAACUACGUG